AUUGAACGCUGGCGGCAGGCCUAACACAUGCAAGUCGAACGAGUGGCGGAAGGGUGAGUAAUGUCUGGGAACCUGCCCGAUGGAGGGGGAUAAGUACUGGAAAAGGUCGCUAAUAACGCAUACCAUCGGAUGUGCCCCGAUGGGAUGAGCUAGUGGGUGGGGUAAAGGCUCACCUAGGCAACGAUCCCCAGCUGGUCUGAAAGGCUGACCAGCCACACGGGAACGUAGACACGGUCCAGACGCCUACGGUAGGCAGCAGUGGGGAAUAUUGCACAAUGGGCGAAAGCCUGAUUCAGCCAUGCAGCGUGUAUGAAGAAGGCCUUCGGAUUGUAAAGUACUUUCGGCGGGGAGGCGUUACCCGCAGAGAAAGCCACGGCUAACUCCGUGCCAGCAGCCGCGGUAAUUC
RNAcentral lists this ribosomal RNA (406 nucleotides) under uncultured bacterium. RNAcentral describes it as "partial 16S ribosomal RNA". It matches the Rfam family "Bacterial small subunit ribosomal RNA", at positions 30 to 526 of the family's 1533-position model. The record is from RNAcentral.